CGGUAAUACGACCGUACCUAGCGUAGUUCGGAAUUACUGGGCUUAAAGAGCUCGUAUGUGGUUAGAAAAGUUGGUGGUGAAAUCCCAAGGCUUAACCUUGGAACUGCCACCAAAACUUUUUAACUAGAGUAUGAUAGAGGAAAGUGGAAUUUCUAGUGUAGAGGUGAAAUUCGUAGAUAUUAGAAAGAACACCGAUUGCGAAGGCAACUUUCUGGAUCAUUACUGACACUGAGGAGCGAAAGCAUGGGUAGCGAAGAGGAUUAGAUACCCUCGUAGUCCAUGCUGUAAACGAUGUGUGCUAGACGUUGGAAAUUUAAUUUUCAGUGUCGCAGCAAAAGCGUUAAGCACACCGCCUGGGGAGUACGACCGCAAGGUUAAAACUCAAAUGAAUUGACGGGGACCCGCACAAGUAGUGGAGCAUGUGGUUUAAUUCGAAGAUACGCGCAGAACCUUACCAACACUUGACAUGUUCGUCGCGACUCUAAGAGAUUAGAGUUUUCGGUUCGGCCGGACGAAACACAGGUGCUGCAUGGCUGUCGUCAGCUCGUGUCGUGAGAUGUUGGGUUAAGUCCCGCAACGAGCGCAACCCCCACUUUUAGUCGCUACCAUUUAGUUGGGCACUCUAAAAGAACUGCCAGUGAUAAGCUGGAGGAAGGCGGGGAUGACGUCAAGUCCUCAUGGCCCUUACGUGUUGGGCUACACACGUGCUACAAUGGUACUUACAGUGAGAAGCAAAGAGGCGACUCUAAGCUAAUCCCUAAAAGGUACCUCAGUUCGGAUUGUACUCUGCAACUCGAGUACAUGAAGCUGGAAUUACUAGUAAUCGCGGAUCAGCGCGCCGCGGUGAAUACGUUCCCGGG
This 860-nucleotide ribosomal RNA is filed under the name uncultured bacterium. RNAcentral's name for it is "bacterial SSU rRNA". It matches the Rfam family "Bacterial small subunit ribosomal RNA", at positions 518 to 1378 of the family's 1533-position model. The record is from RNAcentral.